Molecule: ribosomal RNA, 158 nt
Filed under: Amanita sp. 'trygonion'
Lineage: Eukaryota; Fungi; Basidiomycota; Agaricomycetes; Agaricales; Amanitaceae
Description: partial 28S ribosomal RNA
Rfam family: Eukaryotic large subunit ribosomal RNA
Source: RNAcentral
UCUGACCUCAAAUCAGGUAGGAUUACCCGCUGAACUUAAGCAUAUCAAUAAGCGGAGGAAAAGAAACUAACAAGGAUUCCCUUAGUAACUGCGAGUGAAGUGGGAAAAGCUCAAAUUUAAAAUCUGGCAGUCUGAAUUUACUUCUUUGGCUGUCCGAG